AUUAUGGCUCAGGAUGAACGCUAGCUACAGGCUUAACACAUGCAAGUCGAGGGGCAGCGGGAAGUUAGCUUGCUAACUUGCCGGCGACCGGCGCACGGGUGAGUAACGCGUAUCCAACCUUCCCCUUAGUAGGGCAUAGCCCGGCGAAAGUCGGAUUAAUACCCUAUGUUUUCCAAUGAGGACAUCUGAGCUGGAAUAAAGAUUCAUCGCUAAGGGAUGGGGAUGCGUCCGAUUAGCUUGCCGGCGGGGUAACGGCCCACCGGGGCGACGAUCGGUAGGGGUUCUGAGAGGAAGGUCCCCCACACUGGUACUGAGACACGGACCAGACUCCUACGGGAGGCAGCAGUGAGGAAUAUUGGUCAAUGGGCGCGAGCCUGAACCAGCCAAGUAGCGUGCAGGAUGACGGCCCUAUGGGUUGUAAACUGCUUUUAUAGGGGAAUAAAGUUUCCUACGUGUAGGAUUUUGUAUGUACCCUGUGAAUAAGGACCGGCUAAUUCCGUGCCAGCCGCUGC
Molecule: ribosomal RNA, 512 nt
Filed under: uncultured bacterium
Lineage: Bacteria
Description: bacterial SSU rRNA
Rfam family: Bacterial small subunit ribosomal RNA
Source: RNAcentral